UAACUGGUUUGUUGAAUUAAUUCGAGUUUUGUAGCUAUUAGAAACAAUGGUAAAGAACUGUGGGGAUUACGUUCACUUCCAAAUUGCCGAGAGGAAUGUAUUAGGGGAGAUGAUCAAAAUUUUGAAGAAGAAGGCAGAUAUGCAAGUGAGGGAGAAAAUCUUGGUCUUGCUUGACUCUUGGCAAGAAGCUUUUGGUGGGCCUGGAGGAAAGCAUUCUCAAUAUUAUUGGGCAUAUGAUUAAUUAAGGCGUUCUGGAGUAGAAUUUCCCAAGCGUUCAUUAGACGUCGUCCCUAUUUUUACACCCCUGCUUCACAUCAGACCAUGGGUUGUCCUCAACCUGGAUAUGGAAUGCCUAGCAAUGCUUCAAGAAGGCUUGAUGAAACUAUGGCUACAGAAAUUGAGAGUUUGAGCUUGUCAAGCAUGGAGGCUAUGCAAAAUGUUCUAGAACUCCUAAGUGACAUGCUACAGGUAGUAA
Molecule: long non-coding RNA, 475 nt
Organism: Humulus lupulus (European hop)
Lineage: Eukaryota; Viridiplantae; Streptophyta; Magnoliopsida; Rosales; Cannabaceae
Exons: 4
Source: RefSeq, a predicted model, not a curated record